Schizosaccharomyces pombe (fission yeast) is the source of this 251-nucleotide non-coding RNA. NCBI's taxonomy places the organism in Eukaryota, Fungi, Ascomycota, Schizosaccharomycetes, Schizosaccharomycetales, Schizosaccharomycetaceae. The record is from the annotation of a GenBank genome assembly.
AAUCUGUGUUUUUAUGAGACUUCAGCACUUGCAUCUAUAGUAGUUCAAAAAAAGCAAUUAAUCAAGCCUCAUUUUCAAUUCUGUCUUCCAAUUGCGAUGUAGCCUCCGCCUCCAUUCCGCGAAGCGUUGCUAAUGUGCCAUCCUCUUCCAGUUCUUCAAUUUUGGUUUCCAUAGCCGUUUGCAUUUUGUUCGCAUCUUCAUAGACAAAAGAACCUUCCUCAUUAUACGUCCUAGCAUUAUUAAACAUUGUC